UGCGGAAAUCGAAGAGUCGAUUACGGUGCGUUUUUCGGCGAAAUUCGCCUAAAGAACGCGGAUUCGAUUCGGAUUUCUUCCGACGUGGUUUGGUUGUCCGUUGAGUUGUCGCUGAGCCUUAUUGGCUGGUCACCAUCAUCAUUUUGUGGGUUCAAUGAUGACGGAUGAGCGACGGUGGUUCCGGUGUCGAAAUAGACACUUCCGGGAAUUCGGAUCCGAACAAUUAUCCGACGAUAAUUGUUGGGUUGUGUUAUCUUGUGUUUGCUACCAAGACAUUCAAAUUGGUGUAUUUUGUGGCAGCGGGUGACUCAUGGUACGAGUCGGUGAGUUUCGGGACACUUAGUGGGUCCCGACGGCGUCCCGGUGUAGUUUUCGGGACUUCCGGCGAGUUACGGUAAUCAGUAUUGGGAAACCGAUCUUCGUGAAAUUGUUUGUGGAGUUGUGGAUACUGUGAUUAUUAGUUGUGAGUUAGAUACUAACCCGGUGGACCCUCUAUAGGUCCUGUCGACAUUCUUUUGCAGUCAGGAGAUAGACGCGACAUCCUUACAAGUGGGUACUUCGAUCCGACGUCGGUACAGUGGUGCACACUUGGUGAUGGUCUCUUACCCUUACUCUUCUGUUGUUACUAUCGCAUAGUAUAUUGAGCCUUGCACCCUUGUUUAUUCGUUAUACUCUACUCGUUGUUUGCAUGCUUAGUAUCCUGAGUAGGAGUAGAGUAGUUCUAUCUUCAUGCGUAUCUGUUGACCUAGUUGGUCGGUUGUUGCAUUCAGUACCUGUUGACCUAGUUGGUCUGUUGUUGCGUUUAGUAUCUGUUGACCUAGUUGGUCGGUUAUUGCAUUCCGUAUCUGUUGAUCUACUUGGUUAGUUGUUGCAUUCUAUAUCUGUUGACCUGGUUGGUCGGUUCUCGUACUUCGUAUGAGGGACCUUGUUGGUCAGCUGUACUCUGUGGACCUUGGGUCCAGGCAACACAUCGACUCUCUUGUCAUGUGUUACGAUCUGGUUAAUCGUGGUUUGGCGUGGUACGCCCUUGUUUCUGGCUUCGGCCUAGGCACCAGCUUUAGCCGAAUUUCGUUUGAGCAUAUCAGCAUGAUUUAGUCACAGCACUGUGUAUUCUAGACACCAGGUUGGUUUGGCCACCAACCAAGGGGUGUACGUAUCCGGAUAGGUCGUCGGUGACGCAUGAAUAAGCUCUCAGUGUCUGCUCUGUGACAGGCAACGCUUAAGGUCUACGGACCAAUAUAGCAGCAUCAGAUUGGGUAUAUUUAGACUUAUCGUCUGGUUAACGCAUAUAACUAUAGUAGCAGUUGUCGCUUGUAUAUCUUCAGUUCUUUCGUUAGAUUGUCUUGCUACUAUAGUCUUGUUACAUGUAUACAUUCAGUUGUUCAUUACAGUAGCGGUAGUUGUACUUUCUUUCAUAUACAUGUCUCUUUCAUUUAUUAUUAUUGCUACUGUAUUUUCUACUGACCCGUACUGUUGUUUAGCUCUUCCUGAUCCGGUGAGUACUCCUCGCCUUCAUCGGCUUGCGGUACCCACUGGGAGGGGAGACAUGUUUACAUGUUCUCACCUCCCCCACUAUUUUUCAGGUAUCGCGGCGUGGCUGAGGUUGAGACGAGACGUGAGAUACGUACGUAGCGGUCGAUAGAGCUUCGACCCAGGUUAUUCGGUUUAGUUUCUUACCCUUACGUGUCCUGUUGAUAUAGUUUAGAUAGUUUAUAUGGAUCAGUUUUUGGGUAUUUCAGUUAACUAUCGUAUUUUGAUUUGGUUUUAUGAAUGAAAUAAAAAGAUUCAUGGUUUUCAUAAAUAAAAGGUUUUCUACCCUCGUGGUAGCGUUUUAAAGAAUAAAGGUUUCGUGUAGGAAACAGUUUUCAAAAAAAUUUUCUGUGGAUUUAUGUUUAAAUAUUGAAUGUAUAACUGUGAUGUGAAUGUGAAUGAAUAAUUGCAUAGUCGUUUCUAUAUU
This 1957-nucleotide long non-coding RNA is filed under the name Ananas comosus (pineapple). RNAcentral describes it as "long non-coding RNA (ACOM_LNC039785)". Lineage: Eukaryota; Viridiplantae; Streptophyta; Magnoliopsida; Poales; Bromeliaceae. The record is from RNAcentral.